This 253-nucleotide ribosomal RNA is filed under the name uncultured bacterium. RNAcentral describes it as "partial 16S ribosomal RNA". It matches the Rfam family "Bacterial small subunit ribosomal RNA", at positions 524 to 776 of the family's 1533-position model. The record is from RNAcentral.
UACAGAGGGUGCAAGCGUUGUUCGGAAUUACUGGGCGUAAAGCGCGUGUAGGCGGUCUGAUAAGUCGGUCGUGAAAGCCCUUGGCUUAACCAAGGAACUGCGAUCGAAACUGCCGGACUAGAGCAUCGGAGGGGGUGGCGGAAUUCCCGGUGUAGAGGUGAAAUUCGUAGAUAUCGGGAGGAACACCUGUGGCGAAGGCGGCCACCUGGAAGAUUACUGACGCUGAGACGCGAAAGCGUGGGGAGCAAACAGG